This 408-nucleotide long non-coding RNA is filed under the name Gallus gallus (chicken). RNAcentral describes it as "long non-coding RNA NONGGAT001606". Lineage: Eukaryota; Metazoa; Chordata; Aves; Galliformes; Phasianidae. The record is from RNAcentral.
CCCAAUAAAGAAGUUUGCAAUGGCAAUAAGGAGAACAAUUAGAAGAAUAACUUGAGCCUGUUGAUAGAAACAAAGAUUUCCCCAAUGAUUUUAAUUUAUAUUGACAAUGGAGAUGGCUAAAUACAGUUCUAAGCUUUUGUCACCGCAGAAUAUGAAAAGAGUCCUAUUCUAGACCUGAUUCCUACAUUCUGAGCUUUACCUUUGCUUCCCAUUCCAUGCCGGCAACAGAGAUGCCAAGAAGACAUACAACAGUUAUGGUACCUAUUAUUCUGAUAUCAUUGGACUCAUCUACCAUUAUUGUAUCACUCUCCUGGAAAGAAGAAAAUAUUUACUCGUCUUCUAAGGAGGUAGCUGAAAUGCAAGGGGUAUUAUAAAGAAUUAUACUGGAAGGAAUUAAGUUGAAGAUAU